AGCGAACGCUGGCGGCAUGCUUAACACAUGCAAGUCGCACGGGUGGGUUUCGGCCCAUCAGUGGCGGACGGGUGAGUAACGCGUAGGGAUCUAUCCAUGGGUGGGGGACAACCGCGGGAAACCGCGGCUAAUACCGCAUGACGACUCUGGUUUAGGCCGGGGUCCAAAGCCUGUGAGGGCGCCUGUGGCGGAGCCUGCGUCCGAUUAGCUUGUUGGUGGGGUAAUGGCUCACCAAGGCGUCGAUCGGUAGCUGGUCUGAGAGGAUGGCCAGCCACAC
This 277-nucleotide ribosomal RNA is filed under the name uncultured bacterium. RNAcentral's name for it is "partial 16S ribosomal RNA". It matches the Rfam family "Bacterial small subunit ribosomal RNA", at positions 28 to 313 of the family's 1533-position model. The record is from RNAcentral.